RNAcentral lists this non-coding RNA (77 nucleotides) under uncultured Sphingomonas sp. RNAcentral's name for it is "Glycine riboswitch". It matches the Rfam family "Glycine riboswitch aptamer", at positions 8 to 87 of the family's 94-position model. Rfam says of the family: This family represents the bacterial glycine riboswitch. Glycine riboswitches usually consist of two metabolite-binding aptamers domains with similar structures in tandem. The aptamers cooperatively bind glycine to regulate the expression of downstream genes. The record is from RNAcentral. Lineage: Bacteria; Pseudomonadati; Pseudomonadota; Alphaproteobacteria; Sphingomonadales; Sphingomonadaceae.
GCGCGGGAGAGUGUGGGGCAACCCACCGCCGAAGGAGCAACCGCCCCGGAAUCUCUCAGGCACCAGGGACCGCGCGG